Molecule: ribosomal RNA, 441 nt
Filed under: Epiphragmophora trigrammephora
Lineage: Eukaryota; Metazoa; Mollusca; Gastropoda; Stylommatophora; Epiphragmophoridae
Description: partial large subunit ribosomal RNA
Rfam family: Archaeal large subunit ribosomal RNA
Source: RNAcentral
CAAAAACAUAACAGUAUGGCAGUGAUAUGCUGCGCCCCCUGCUCAAUGAAAUUUAAAUAGCCGCAGUACCUUGACUGUGCAAAGGUAGCAUAAUCAAUUGGCCUAUAAUUGAGGUCUGGAAUGAAUGGGUGAAUGGAUAAACGCUGUCUUCAUUCUAUUACAUAAAAGUUUAUAAGUAAGUGAAAAUGCUUACAGCAUAUGAAAGACGAGAAGACCCUAGAAAUUUUUUAAAAUAUGUAAUAUUUACUAUUUUGUUGGGGCGACAAAACAACAUAUAACUUGUUUUUAAAUAAAUAAGAAUUUUUUAUUAGGUGAAAGUAAAUUACUCUAGGGAUAACAGCAUAAUUUCAAAGAGUUUGUGACCUCGAUGUUGGACUAGGGUGAAUGUCACUCAAAAGGCGCCAUUUUAUGUUCUGUUCGAACAGCCGACCCUACAUGAUC